Molecule: long non-coding RNA, 436 nt
Filed under: Homo sapiens (human)
Lineage: Eukaryota; Metazoa; Chordata; Mammalia; Primates; Hominidae
Description: non-protein coding lnc-PBDC1-5:1
Source: RNAcentral
CUUUAUCAAUUUUCUAUGAAUGAAGUUGUACAUACAUCUUUUGUAGUAGGAAGUAAUGUAGAAGAGAUAGUGAUUAAUAAUACACGUUUCCUAAUAUGGGAUAUUGGUGGCCAAGAAUCUCUUCGUUCUUCCUGGAACACUUAUAUAUUAACACAGAGUUUGUAAUAGUUGUGGACACUACCGAGAGAGGAUUUCUGUAACUAGAGAAGAACGCUAUAAAAUGUUACCACAUGAGGACCUAAGAAAAGGUGCAUUGCUGAUUUUUGCUAAUAAACAAGAUGUUAAAGACUGCAUGACUGUAGCAGAAAUCUCCCAGUUUUUGAAGCUAACUUCUAUUAAAGAUCACCAGUGGCAUACCCAGGCAUGCUGUGCUCUAACUGGCGAGGGAUUGUGCCAAGGACUUGAAUGGAUGAUGUCACGACUUCAAAUUAGAUGA